RNAcentral lists this long non-coding RNA (676 nucleotides) under Nicotiana benthamiana. Its description in RNAcentral is "long non-coding RNA (NBEN_LNC008764)". The record is from RNAcentral. Lineage: Eukaryota; Viridiplantae; Streptophyta; Magnoliopsida; Solanales; Solanaceae.
AAAGAAAUAAGGUUCACAUAUGUAAUAUUCACACAACUUGAAAAAGCUUUAAGGAUGAAAGAAGGACGUAAAUUUGAAUAAAAGGGAGGAUUAAUUUGAAAAAGGAGAACAUUUGAAUAAGCAAACAAAAAGAGAGAGGUCCUAGGUUUAACUACAAUUUGGAUCAUUCGAUAAAAUAUCCGCAUAUGUUCCAAAAGAGGGGUCACUUUAUGAUAUUAUCGCAUCCUCAUCUCCAAGAUAUGGGUCCUAGGUUUAACUACAAUAUGGAUCAUUCGAUACAAUAUCCCGCAGAUAUUCCCAAAGAGGGGUCGCUUUUUGAUAUUAUCGCAUCGUCAUCAUCUCCAUAUUCUACCCUUCCCACUCUGUAGAGGUUAUUUAAGCGUGUGAAUUGGCCACGAAUUUUUAUUACGUGCUAUUACCCGUCCCGUCCUAUAGAUCCUAGGGGGAAUUUAGGAUCAUUAUUCCUAUAAGGUAGGAACUAGGUUGAACCCUUAAGUUUAAAGGUUAAAAUGCUAAGCGACAUACAAAACAAAUAGGACUACGAAUAAUGGAAUCACGUAAAGCAUGUAAAGGUUCAAAUAUCCCUCUAUGAACAAUCAUGUAUUUAGCACGUCUCAAACACAUUUAAGGUCUAAGGAAGGAAGAAUUUUUAAAAGCUGGAGCAUAAGUUUAAAAC